This 2067-nucleotide small RNA is filed under the name Lupinus albus (white lupine). RNAcentral describes it as "hypothetical ncRNA". The record is from RNAcentral. Lineage: Eukaryota; Viridiplantae; Streptophyta; Magnoliopsida; Fabales; Fabaceae.
CCGCGCGUCUACUGUGGGGAAAUGUGUUCUUACGGAGAUAAAAGCUACUAAUCCAACAGUUCCAGAAGAGUCUCACCGGCCGGGAAUCGGAAUCGGAAUGAAAGAGAUGUACCGAAGCUCUCAAGCGGCCCGGCCUAUGCCGAGAGGGUUACAGCGGGCAAUCAUUAAUAUGCCUUGGGGAAAGUCAUGCACCUGGCCUAGACGGAUAAAGGAAAGAUUAUCUCACCGAAAACAAGUAAACGAAAUAAUUACUAGUGCCCUAAGGCAAGGAAAUGUCACUUCCUUUUGUUGCCUUAGGGCAGGGUUUGACACUAUAUAAGGACCUGGUAAUUUCUUAAAGAAUGCCUUUACCUCCUUUACUUACUUUCUUGGCCCCGCUCCGCACCUGUCUUGCUUGUCUUUCUUCCUCCUCUUCUCCUUCGAUACGUGCCUGCUACUGCAGCAGCUAGAGAGAGAAAAGUACGGAUUCGGACAUGGGAGCAUUAGGAAGAUUCUUUCUAGCUUAUGUGAUUCACUCCUUAAAGAAGGUAGUUGGCUUACUUGCUUUUGAGAGGACAGGUAGUUUACGAAGAGAAGACAGACGCAAGACUCAUCCCGAUGGAUGCGAGACAGCAGAGGAUGUGGGAGCUUUCUUUCCCAAGGAAGAGCCCAAGCAAUGCCCUUGGGAGCGCAUUGCUUUCGUUUCGGUGCAAUCCAACUCUCUGCCCCUGCUUCGCCUAACUGAGAAAAGACAGAAGCAGCACCGCUAGUGCACUUUAAGCUAUUUCCUGUAAGGUAUAGACCAAGUCAUUUAAUUAAUUGUACCGGUCCUGCUCUUUUCUUUGUGCCAACCUUCUCGCCCUAGCCCUGUGUCCACAAUUCCAGGCCUUAAAUCAAAGUCUUGGAGUCAACUAGAAGGUGGAAGGCCCUAACCGAGAGAGGGUCCACGGUGGCUACGGGGAACCAGAGCCCGCACGAAGGAUUCAAUGCAGAAUUAGUUCUUAUCUUUCUUAUGAUAUUAGCAGUAAUCAAUUGAAUGACAAAUCUCUUGAAAAACGAAGACCUUGACUAGUAGCCGGCUGACUUACGAAUACCAGCAUCUCUAAAAGAGGGCUUUCUCCGGCUUUCUCUAAUAGGGGAAAAGCAUUGGCAUUCUAUUAAAGCGGCGCAGUCAGAAAGUAAAGCAGGAGGCAGAAGGUGGGGAAGGAAUGAUUCUCAGAAAAAGGGUAGGGUUAGGGGAUUGGUCUGGAGUGGAGCCGGGGUAAGGAGCGAGUUCAGUUCCCCUCGGGAAAGAAUCAAUUCUUCUAAAAUAUAAAUAGAUAUGAGCUGAUCGUCUCCCCCCAGAAAGGGCAGAAGUUCGUAUAAUGAUCAGUAAGAUGAGUAGGCAAUACCAUGACUAUUUCGAUUUCCAAGCGAUGACCACUUAUGAUUGAUUGAACCACCCGUAUUGAAAUCUACAAUGGGACUCAUGGAUCACAGGUCAAAAGGGCGGAUCCAAAAGGAAAGAAGAUAGCCCUGGGAGGAAGAAGCAAGAACAGUGAAGUCAAUGUCUUGUCUGACGGAAAGCCAAAGACACCCAGAACUUUCACUCCGUUAGGCAUAACUCUCAGCCGCACCUUGGAAAGGCUUCAAAAGCAUGGUGUACUCACGCCUCUUCCCCCAUCUCGCUCAACACCAGAUCCUCUUCCUCCUAGGUACAAAGCCCAUGCCUACUGCAAGUACCUUUAGACAAAUGGCCAAAAGACUGACCGAUGUUUAAGGCUGAAACAUGACAUCCAAGACCUUCUUAAUUCAGGGAAAAUUGAGCCACCAAGGGCAAAGCGUUCCAAUGUCACUACCAAUCCCCUACCCACUCAUGCUUUACCUCCUCCUGCCAAUAUAAAGAUGAUCGAGCCGACAUUGCCUAUGUUGUUGGAGUCGUGAGUCAAUUCAUGCAGAAACCAAGAACGAUACAUCUAGAUGUUGCAUACAGAAUCCUCAGAUAUCUUAAGGGUUCACCUGGAAAAGGUCUUCUUUUCCCAUCUUCCAGUUCCCUUCAGAUGACAGGAGACUCCGAUGCAGAUUGGGCAGGAGAUGCGCUGGACAGGG